CAGUCGCCGCGGGAAUACGGAGGGGGCUAGCGUUGUUCGGAAUUACUGGGCGUAAAGCGCACGUAGGCGGCUUUGUAAGUUAGAGGUGAAAGCCCGGAGCUCAACUCCGGAAUUGCCUUUAAGACUGCCGAGCUAGUAGGUGAGAGAGGUGAGUGGAAUUCCGAGUGUAGAGGUGAAAUUCGUAGAUAUUCGGAAGAACACCAGUGGCGAAGGCGGCUCACUGGACGACUGUUGACGCUGAGGUGCGAAAGCGUGGGGAGCAAACAGGAUUAGAUACCCCUGUAGUCCCUGUCUCUUAUAC
RNAcentral lists this ribosomal RNA (301 nucleotides) under uncultured bacterium. Its description in RNAcentral is "partial 16S ribosomal RNA". It matches the Rfam family "Bacterial small subunit ribosomal RNA", at positions 509 to 807 of the family's 1533-position model. The record is from RNAcentral.